AUGCAGUCGACGAGGCAGCGGCCUUCGGGCCGUUGUCGAGUGGCGAACGGUUGAGUAACACGUGAGGAACCUGCCCCGGAGACCGGGAUAACCAGGGGAAACUCUGGCUAAUACCGGAUGCCCCCGGAUGGUCGCAUGGCCAACCGAGGAAACGCUCCGGUGCUCCGGGAGGGCCUCGCGGCCUAUCAGCUUGUUGGUGGGGUAAUGGCCUACCAAGGCAUCGACGGGUAGCUGGUCUGAGAGGACGAUCAGCCACACUGGGACUGAGACACGGCCCAGACUCCUACGGGAGGCAGCAGUGGGGAAUAUUGCGCAAUGGGCGAAAGCCUGACGCAGCAACGCCGCGUGGGGGAUGACGGCCUUCGGGUUGUAAACCCCUUUCAGCAGGGACGAAAAUGACGGUACCUGCAGAAGAAGCCCCGGCCAACUACGUGCCAGCAGCCGCGGUAACACGUAGGGGGCAAGCGUUGUCCGGAUUUAUUGGGCGUAAAGAGCUCGUAGGCGGUUGCGUAAGUCGGAUGUGAAAACUCAGGGCUCAACCCGGAGACGCCAUCCGAUACUGCGCUGACUAGAGUCCGGUAGAGGAGCAUGGAAUUCCUGGUGUAGCGGUGAAAUGCGCAGAUAUCAGGAGGAACACCAGUGGCGAAGCGGUGCUCUGGGCCGGUACUGACGCUGAGAGCGAAAGCGUGGGUAGCGAACAGGAUUAGAUACCCUGGUAGUCCACGCCGUAAACGUUGGGCACUAGUGUGGGGCUCCUACGGGUCCGUGCCGUAGCUAACGCAUUAAGUG
RNAcentral lists this ribosomal RNA (789 nucleotides) under uncultured bacterium. RNAcentral's name for it is "bacterial SSU rRNA". It matches the Rfam family "Bacterial small subunit ribosomal RNA", at positions 55 to 866 of the family's 1533-position model. The record is from RNAcentral.